RNAcentral lists this ribosomal RNA (253 nucleotides) under uncultured bacterium. Its description in RNAcentral is "partial 16S ribosomal RNA". It matches the Rfam family "Bacterial small subunit ribosomal RNA", at positions 524 to 776 of the family's 1533-position model. The record is from RNAcentral.
UACAGAGGGUGCAAGCGUUGUUCGGAAUUAUUGGGCGUAAAGGGCGCGUAGGCGGUGCGGUAAGUCACCUGUGAAAUCUCCUGGCUCAACUGGGAGCUUGCAGGCGAAACUGCCGUGCUGGAGUGUGGGAGAGGUGAGUGGAAUUCCCGGUGUAGCGGUGAAAUGCGUAGAUAUCAGGAAGAACACCCGUGGCUAAGGCGGCUCUCUAGUACGGUACUGACGCUGAGACGCGAAAGCGUGGGGAGCGAACAGG